UACGAAGGGUGCAAACGUUGCUCGGAAUCAUUGGGCGUAAAGCGCACGUAGGCGGCGCUCUAAGUCGGAUGUGAAAUCCCUCGGCUCAACCGAGGAAGUGCAUCCGAAACUGGAGUGCUCGAGUAUGCAAGAGGGUCGCGGAAUUCUCGGUGUAGAGGUGAAAUUCGUAGAUAUCGGGAGGAACACCAGUGGCGAAGGCGGCGACCUGGGGCAAUACUGACGCUGAGGUGCGAAAGCGUGGGGAGCAAACAGGAUUAGAUACCCCCGUAGUCC
RNAcentral lists this ribosomal RNA (273 nucleotides) under uncultured bacterium. Its description in RNAcentral is "partial 16S ribosomal RNA". It matches the Rfam family "Bacterial small subunit ribosomal RNA", at positions 524 to 796 of the family's 1533-position model. The record is from RNAcentral.